Molecule: ribosomal RNA, 255 nt
Filed under: uncultured bacterium
Lineage: Bacteria
Description: partial 16S ribosomal RNA
Rfam family: Bacterial small subunit ribosomal RNA
Source: RNAcentral
UACGUAGGGGGCAAGCGUUGUCCGGAUUUAUUGGGCGUAAAGAGCGUGUAGGCGGCCAUGCAGGUCAGCUGUGAAAACUCGAGGCUCAACCUCGAGACGUCGGUUGAAACCGCUUGGCUAGAGUCCGGAAGAGGAGAGUGGAAUUCCCGGUGUAGCGGUGAAAUGCGCAGAUAUCGGGAAGAACACCCAUGGCGAAGGCGGCUCUCUGGGACGGUACUGACGCUGAGGAGCGAAAAGCGUGGGGAGCGAACAGGG